GAGAGGCGGCCAUGGCGGCUCUGCGGGGGAAGAGGGGUCGGGAUCGCUGAAGAGCCGCCGUGAUGUGGGCACAGGAGGGAUCCAUCUCCAGGGCUUGAUGUGGAGUCCUGGCCGCUCUGUGAAAAGACUCAGCCAUGCUACAGGCUGAAUUCCUACCAGGAACCUCCAAGUGCUCACAAAAUCCACCAGAGACACUGGGCAAAGAAGGAACGGGACUCAGGUGGCUGGCUGGCUACAAAAUCUGGCACAAGCAUGUCCCUGUGAAGGGAGCACAUUCCAGCAUGUAAAGUUCCACAGAUUUCCACAAAUUCUCUCCGAUUAAGGCGGGCAAAGCCAAAAAACGCAAGGGUGGGAAAGGCAGAAGAUCCAGAAAGGGU
This is a non-coding RNA of Pseudopodoces humilis (Tibetan ground-tit), 377 nucleotides long. The record is from RefSeq and is a predicted model, not a curated record. NCBI's taxonomy places the organism in Eukaryota, Metazoa, Chordata, Aves, Passeriformes, Paridae.